GAUGCAACGCGAAGAACCUUACCAAGGCUUGACAUACACCAGAACACCGUAGAAAUACGGGACUCUUUGGACACUGGUGAACAGGUGGUGCAUGGUUGUCGUCAGCUCGUGUCGUGAGAUGUUGGGUUAAGUCCCGCAACGAGCGCAACCCUCGUUCUAUGUUGCCAGCACGUAAUGGUGGGAACUCAUGGGAUACUGCCGGGGUCAACUCGGAGGAAGGUGGGGAUGACGUCAAAUCAUCAUGCCCCUUAUGUCUUGGGCUUCACGCAUGCUACAAUGGCCGGUACAAAGGGCUGCAAUACCGUGAGGUGGAGCGAAUCCCAAAAAGCCGGUCCCAGUUCGGAUUGUAGUGUAGUAGUCUAU
Molecule: ribosomal RNA, 363 nt
Filed under: bacterium FS7a
Lineage: Bacteria
Description: bacterial SSU rRNA
Rfam family: Bacterial small subunit ribosomal RNA
Source: RNAcentral